RNAcentral lists this long non-coding RNA (5074 nucleotides) under Sus scrofa (pig). Its description in RNAcentral is "lncRNA (ENSSSCG00015058868.1)". The record is from RNAcentral. Lineage: Eukaryota; Metazoa; Chordata; Mammalia; Artiodactyla; Suidae.
AUUGGUUAUAGAACUAGAACUCCCCCAAAUCCUCAAUGAAUAUCUCUGUAAUAAACAAUAUAAAAUAGACUAGUUAGAAAGAAAGAUGUUUUAUUUUCAAGUUUAGACAGCAAACUAACUGGAUCUGCGCUUUCACAAAGCUUCAGGGAAUGGAUUAAAGUGAUCUGUUUUAAAUAUAUAAGACAAAAUGCAUAAAGACAUAUUUAUUUCAACCUACUUAUAGUAGGUUUUAUGUUACACUGGUCAAGUUUUUAAUUAGUUUGUUGUCUUAAAUAGGUAAACUUCCCCACUUGAAGUCUUAUUUACACCACCUUUUUUUUUUUUUUGCGCAGACGCAAUUUCAAAGGCAUAUCAAAGUUUAACGUCAAACCAGCCGGAUAUAUAUUAUCAUAAAGUCAUAAUUAAUGAUAAUUGAGGUAUGACUUCAUGGCAACACAAAAGGCACUGUUCCAAAGUGGUACUUAAUGUUUAUACAAUUGCAUUAUAAAAAAUGUUGAACCCAAAGUUAUGUUUCUUUUACUUCUGCUGUUCUUAGAAAUUCUGACUCAUCAAUGGUAAAGAUUUCAAGUAAAAGAACAAAAAGGAGCCAGGGAGAGAUAAGGGUAUAUAAGAAUAAUUCCGUCUCCUCGGGAGUCAUGAGGCUACCCUAGAGCUUUCCAGAGAGAACAAACCAAGGUAAACUUAGGGUUAAUGUCUUUAGGUCUUAGCAUCAAGACACACCAGCACCCUCCCUAAGGGGGAAAAAAAAAAAAUAGGGGCCGGGCUCUUCAGCCUGUGGAAGUUCCUAGGCCAGGGAUCAAACCCAUGGCACAGCAGUAAGCUGAGCUGCUGCAGUAAGAUUGCCAGGUCCUUAAACUGCUAUGCCACAAGGGAACUCCUAAAGGGUAAAUUUGAAGUGCCUUCCUAAGUGGCUCAACUGGCAGGUGUUAAUUAACAACAUAAUGUGAUUCCUGGCUCAAAGAAAGGAUAACUUAGAGGGUGCUUCUGCUCACUGUUUGACUCAUCAUUGCACCCAUGCAGUAAGGCUCCCUUCAGCCUUCCAUGGCUCAUGGUCAAGCACACAUGUCUUUUUUUUUUUUUUUCAAGGCCACACUUGAGGCAUAUGGAAGUUUCUGGGCUAGAGGUUGAAUCAGAGCUGCAGUUAAGCCUGCACCACAGCCAUGGCAACACUAGAACCGAGCUGAGUCUGUGACCUAUACCGUAACUUGUGGCAACGCUGGAUCCUUGACCCACUGAGCAAGGCCAGGGAUUGAACCACAUCCACAUGGAUACUACGUCGAGUUCUUAACCCACUGAGCCACAACAGGAACUCCAACACCCAGGCUUGGAGUGAUGCUGGACUCAAAUCCCAAUUAAGCUGUUAUUUAACCUACACUAGUUUAGAAAAGUCACCCAAUUUGUCACCCAAGGUAAACUUGAAUGUCUGUCUCUAUACACUCAGACGGUGACUGAAUAGAGAAUUUUAUUCCAGGAAUGUUUUCUUACCACUUCCCAGUGUUCUCACUGAGAGGAGAGACCAGGAGAAAUUCUGAAUUUAGGAGAGAAAGUAAUUACUAACAGGAGCGAUAAUCACAGGACAACCCGAAGUAAUUAGAAUGUGUAGCCAAGAGGUAAACUGAGUCUGUGAACACCCAAUGUAGGAGAACAAGAGAAAAAUCCUUAUGGACACUAGAAAGUAAGGGAGGCAGAGUUCCCUUUGUGGCUCAGCAGGUUAAGAACCUGACAUAGUGUCCCUGAGGAUGCGGGUUCAACCCCUGGCCUCACUCAGUGGGUUAAGUAUCCAGCAUUGUCGCAAGUUGUGGUGUAAGUCACAAGUGCGGCUCAGAUCCUGCAUUGCUGUGGCUGUGGGGUAGGCCGGCAGCUGCAGCUCUGAUUGGACCCCAGGCCCAGGAACCCAGAGGAAUAUGGUGCUGAGGUGCCGCUGUAAAAAGAAAAAAAAAGAGAGAGAGAAAAGGAGGAAUCAAACUACCCUGACAGAUUCUCAUCCAAGGAGGAGCUUCCUAAACGCUGUUGAGACAGGAACAAAUCAUAUGUGGGAAUUAUAGAAAUUGUAGGGUAACGGUCUCUAAAUGCUAUUGAAUGUAAAGGGACCAUUGAAGAAGUGAGUCAGAUUCUAAUAACAGUGGUCAAAUUUCUUUCACUUUCUUGAGGGUUCUUAAUAUAUUUGCAUGUCAAAAGCAAUCCAGAUCUGGCAUUGGAAAUUUCCCCCACUAUCUUUCCCUGUAUCAGGCAGCCUUUUCUUGAAAAGUGAAACAACUAGGGAUCUUGUCCAGUCUUGUGUUAAAACAGUAAGUGUUUGGUCGGCCCCUUCACUUUUCUGAGCCUAUUUUCCCAUUCGUAAAAUAAGGCACCUGGAAGAUCUCCAAAAUCAUUCUCAAGUGUAAAAUCCAUGAUCCUAUUGAAAAGAUUUUCAGGAGAAACUCCAGUCCUGAUUGUUUGAAAAGCAUGAUAUUUAUAAUUCCUAUUGGCUGCUGGGUUUUUACUCUCCAUGUCCAGUAAUUUUUGUGGACCUUAACAUAACUUCACAAUGACCCAUAUUUAUAAUUUUUUAGUCCUUUAAUGUUGUUUAUUUCAACUGUCUAAAACACACAUUACCUCUGUUCUUUCAUAGAACAUUUAUUUUUCUAUUUUCAGUUCCAGUGCCAUAAACUUCUCUUUCCACAUCAGCCAGAUGUCUCCCAGUGACCAUUAAUGGGAACCACCACAAAGGAUGCUGACAGAUCAAAAAAAACAAUCACUACAAUGGGAAAAAACAAACAAACAAAAAAAAACAAAGCCAAAGUACCCCCAAGUGAUUUGACACUUUUGUGAAACAAGGUAAUGGCCAUCAGCACAGCUCUGGGUGUCUGGGGACCUGGAGUGACACUACCUUUUUGAGCCACGUUCAUAUGCCAAGUGGAAUAAGUUUAGCUGCCCUACUUUCCCAAACAGUGGUUUUAAGAGAAAUGAUGUGAUGUACAUAAAGGAAUUUUAUGCACACAGAAGUAUGUUGUCAUGGAAAUAAGUAGCUCCCAUCUUCCUAAAAAUAGCUGAUAUGUCAUCAUAUCAACUAAGGAGUGGUCUGAGUCUAUAAAAUAUCUAUCUUGGUGAAAGAUUUUCUUUUACAGUAAUUCAAGAUUGCCUGAUGUUUGUUCCAUGGGAUGUUAAUAAGUAUCAUGCAAAUAAAAACAAUGGAACUCCUUCCAAAUUUUUUUUUUUUGAUCAAACAGCCUUAAAAAAUGUUUGGUUAAGCAAAGUUAAACAGACUCCAUUCCUGCAGAACUUCUUAACGUCUUUAAUAUGCUAAUAUUUAAUAUUCCGUGGGCACUAUAUAAUAUGAUGUUUUCCAAGCCCAUUUGACUAUAAAACUGUUUCCCUAGGGAACAUAUAUUGGCAAUAAUUGACAAGUGAGUAUCAUUAGGAAACAGAACACUAAUUUUUUUUCUUGUGCAACUUGCCAAAUGAAGAGAACAUUAAUUAGUUCAGUGUGUGCCUCAGACCUGGAUUCCAGGCAGACACACUGAAUAAAGCCAGAGAAGCCAACACUGAUUCCAGGUGGGUUAAUCACUUUUUAAUAACAGUAAGAUAAACAGGGCUCUAGGCAUCAGAUAUUUUAGAGGCAAGACAGGUUUUUGCUUCUCAAGUUUUAAAGUAAAAACAUAGGUAAGCAGAUGUCAUUUGGCCUAAAAUCACCCAUCGCCGGAGCUGCUCUACUUUCCCAUCCUAGAUCCAUAUCCUAACCUUCUCUUUUCUAUUCAAAACUUAAGGUCCCUAAACUUUCUGGGACACAAUCAGGGGUCCUGGUGAAAGAUGGUUUAUUAUAGUAAAUAAGAACAUACAGUGCAGCCAGAUUGUCUGGAUUCAUGUCCUAGGUUCAGGUUUCCAGUUUGCAAGCUGGGUGGCCUAGGGCAAGUUAUUUCACUUUCCCUGGCCUCACUUUCCUCUAGUAUAGAGCAGAGGUAAUAAUGGUGUGUCUGAGGUACAUAUAGUAUACAUAGUAUACAUACAUAUAGUAUACAUAAUAAGCAUAUAUAGUAUACAUAGUAUACAUGCUAUAUAUAGUACACAUAUAUACUAUAUGCAUAUGUAGUAUACAUAGUAUACAUAUACUAUAGAAUACAUAUACUAUAUCAUAUACAUAGUAUACAUACUAUAUGGAUAUAUAGUAUAUGUAUAUGUAGUAUAUAUAGUAUACAUAUUACAUACUAUAUGUGUGUGUAUAUAUAUAGUAUGUGUAGUAUACAUACUAUACAUACAUACAUAUAGUACUACAUAGUAGUACUACAGAGUAUACACACAUAUAUACUAUAUAUGUACAAUAUACUAUGCUAUAUACUAUAUGUGUAUAUGUAAUGUAUAUAGUAUAUAGUAUACCAUAGUAUAUAUGGUAUACAUUCUGCAUGUAUAAUAUAGAGUAUAUAUAAUAUGUAGUGUAUAUAAUAUAAUAAAUGUAAAACAUAUAAAUUUAAGAACUGAAUAAAUCUGAAUAAAGCCCUUGCUAUCUAAACUCCCACUACUUUUAAAUCAGGAAACAAAUAGCUUUGGACAGCUUAACAUCUCUCGUUAUCUAACUUUGCUAUCCACACUCGCUAACUAAAUAAAUCUAAUAGUAAGGAAUAUUUGUGGUACUUAUAUCAUCGAGUCCUUGUGAGGACUAAAUUAGUUAAUAUCUGUAAAGCACUUUGAGACUGUCUGGCACAGAAUGAGUAUUUCCUAUUCCUACUAUGCCAGCUACCACAACAUAAUAUUCUGUGAGUAUUAAUGAUAGAUUUCUUCUAGAUAAUUUAUUUUUUUAUUUAUAUUUUUUGGCCACACCCACAGCAUGUGGAAGUUCCCGGGCCAGGAUCAAACCUGUGGUGCAGGGAGUUCCCGUCGUGGCGCAGUGGUUAACGAAUCCGACUAGGAACCAUGAGGUUGUGGGUUCGGUCCCUGCGCUUGCUCAGUGGGUUAACGAUUCGGUGUUGCCGUGAGCUGUGGUGUAGGUUGCAGACGCGGCUCGGAUCUCGCGUUGCUGUGGCUCUGGCGUAGGCCGGAGACUACAGCUCCGAUUGGACCCCUAGCCUGGGAACCUCCAUAUGCCGCGGGAGCGGCCCAA